This 497-nucleotide ribosomal RNA is filed under the name uncultured bacterium. Its description in RNAcentral is "partial 16S ribosomal RNA". It matches the Rfam family "Bacterial small subunit ribosomal RNA", at positions 28 to 507 of the family's 1533-position model. The record is from RNAcentral.
GAUGAACGCUGGCGGCGUGCCUAAUACAUGCAAGUCGAGCGAACAGACGAGGAGCUUGCUUUUCUGACGUUAGCGGCGGACGGGUGAGUAACACGUGGAUAACCUACCUAUAAGACUGGGAUAACUUCGGGAAACCGGAGCUAAUACCGGAUAAUAUUUUGAACCGCAUGGUUCAAUAGUGAAAGACGGUUUUGCUGUCACUUAUAGAUGGAUCCGCGCUGCAUUAGCUAGUUGGUAAGGUAACGGCCUACCAAGGCAACGAUGCGUAGCCGACCUGAGAGGGGGAUAGGCCACACGAGAACUGGGACAGGGUCCAGACGCCUAAGGUAGGCAGCAGUAGGGAAUCUUCCGCAGUGGGCGAAAGCCUGACGGAGCAACGCCGCGUGAGUGAUGAAGGUCUUCGGAUCGUAAAACUCUGUUAUUAGGGAAGAACAGAUGUGUAAGGAACUGUGCACUUCUUGACGGUACCUAAUCAGAAAGCCACGGCUAACUACGUG